CCUACGGGUUGCAGCAGUGGGGAAUAUUGCACAAUGGGCGCAAGCCUGAUGCAGCCCUGCCGCGUGUAUGAAGAAGGCCUUCGGGUUGUAAAGUACUUUCAGCGGGGAGGAAGGUGUUGUGGUUAAUAACCGCAGCAAUCGACGUUACCCGCAGAAGAAGCACCGGCUAACUCCGUGCCAGCAGCCGCGGUAAUACGGAGGGUGCAAGCGUUAAUCGGAAUUACUGGGCGUAAAGCGCACGCAGGCGGUCUGUCAAGUCGGAUGUGAAAUCCCCGGGCUCAACCUGGGAACUGCAUUCGAAACUGGCAGGCUAGAGUCUUGUAGAGGGGGUAGAAUUCCAGGUGUAGCGGUGAAAUGCGUAGAGAUCUGGAGGAAUACCGGUGGCGAAGGCGGCCCCCUGGACAAAGACCGACGCUCAGGUGCGAAAGCGUGGGGAGCAAACAGGAUUAGAUACCCCAGU
RNAcentral lists this ribosomal RNA (460 nucleotides) under uncultured bacterium. RNAcentral's name for it is "bacterial SSU rRNA". It matches the Rfam family "Bacterial small subunit ribosomal RNA", at positions 338 to 791 of the family's 1533-position model. The record is from RNAcentral.